UAACAAUAAUAAUAAUAAUGAUUUGCCUAAAAAGGGUACAUCUGCUUUUCUGAGGCUUUAUGGUCCUAAAGACCCUUUGAACAAUGCUUCCUACAUAAACGUGGGGGCUUCUUGCCUUUCUAAAACCCUGGCAGCUUUGUGAGUCAUCAGAGGGCAUCAAGGCAGACAGUUCCAAACUAAGCCUCUCGGUUCAUCUGUGUGUCCAAGAUGUUUUGAAUGCUGUCUUCCCUUUCUUUCCUGAAGUGCUCUAUGUUUGCAUGAAAAUAGUUGGUAGAGUGGAAAACUUUGUGGAUUACUGAUGGAGCAUGAUAGCGAUGUGGGUUCCAGUUGCAGCCCUGCCAUGGAUUAAUAAUGGACAAAAUACAGAAGUUACAGAUCCUCUGUGCCUCAGUUUUUUUCAGCCUGGAUAAUAUGAAUACUUAUCUAUUCCAAAAGAUAUUGCAAAACUUUAAUAAUGUUGCCUUUUACAGCAAUGCAACUGAAUCUUAUCAAUGAAACAAAUACUAGUUAAAAGCUAAAAGUCAAUUUGAAGUGAAUAGUGGUAGAGCAUUUUAUUGAAAAGAUUCUUGAUAUCAUUCAGUAUUAUGCUGAGGCUUUCUUUUAUUAAUGUUUUGUAGGUUCCUAAGACUCCUGGGUAUAAGAUACUACAGAACUGCAAAUUACUGUUACUUACUGCUCAUUCUGUCUUCUGUGUGUAGCCUCUGGCAGUACACCAAAAGCAGAAGGAGAGAAGUUCCAUUAAAAGCUGCAUUUUAAUUUGGAUUAAACUCCACACCACGGUGGCUUCCAGACUAGAGCUGGACUGGCUGUAUUUGAUGAGGGUUUGCAAGCCACUAGAACUGGUACCCACUGGGGAUUCUUUGAAUUCUGCUGACUGACUACACUGGUAAGAGUAAAGGGGGGAUAACAUUGAGCAGUGUAUGGAGAUACAAAGCAAUUAAAAACCAGCAGUGUCUUCACUGACAAGUAACAGAAACAAGAAUUUAGUUUCUAUUGUUAUUUGUCAUAUACUCUAAUGUACUGUUGCUGAAAUAAUAUUUACUUUUUG
Molecule: long non-coding RNA, 1048 nt
Filed under: Apteryx owenii (little spotted kiwi)
Lineage: Eukaryota; Metazoa; Chordata; Aves; Apterygiformes; Apterygidae
Description: lncRNA (ENSAOWG00000006956.1)
Source: RNAcentral